CAAUGUAUUCACGAUAACUACAAAAUAGAUAUUAAGGCUGGUUUGCACCGUUCAAGAUUAAAAAUUAAACGUCGAUUAAGAUUUGCUAAUCUGACAUUUGUGUUUGCACCGUGUUCAGUUUAACGAAAAUCUUGGUUUAGUGGCUCACAUAUUUAAUCCGCGAAAAAUGGCCGUUUAAAUUCCAAAUCUUAGUUUAACGGUUGACGUUUCAUGAAUGGUUUGUCAAAUCACAAAAACAGAUUAUGAAAUUUAUUAACAUUUUGCAAGAAAGAUUUUUGUCUUGCUGAAGAUGGUGAUUUCAAGGUGCAAGAAUUAAUUGAGCACAUGGUUUACUGCCCCAGGUUUAUCUAUGAAGAAAGUACUCUUAUUUUGAUACAAGAAUAAAUGCAGCCGAAAACCCUUCAACAUUAUAAUUUACUCUAAAGUUAAGAAAUACAAAUUCGAAGUACGUGUUAAUACAAAUUUUUAGUUGCAAUAAUUUCAAUUUAUGGUUCUUUUUUGAUGUGUUAUUUUUAUUUCCGACAACUCGUCGUAUUCUUUUGAUAAAACUCCAUCAGGUGAUGAAGUUCAAUUGAAGUUGUAUUCUUCUUGAGCUCCAAUUAUUCUGUGUACCAGACUGAAAAUUUUAAUUUUCUUCCGUGGCAAAAUUGGAAGGUCGCACUUGUUCUUGCUCCAUUCAAGGAAAGAAAAAGCAUGCAAAACACAUCCAAACUAUUGCAGUUAUUAACUAAAAAAUGCUAU
Molecule: long non-coding RNA, 741 nt
Organism: Tribolium castaneum (red flour beetle)
Lineage: Eukaryota; Metazoa; Arthropoda; Insecta; Coleoptera; Tenebrionidae
Exons: 3
Source: RefSeq, a predicted model, not a curated record